RNAcentral lists this ribosomal RNA (408 nucleotides) under Candidatus Accumulibacter phosphatis. RNAcentral describes it as "bacterial SSU rRNA". It matches the Rfam family "Bacterial small subunit ribosomal RNA", at positions 447 to 857 of the family's 1533-position model. Lineage: Bacteria; Pseudomonadati; Pseudomonadota; Betaproteobacteria. The record is from RNAcentral.
GGUUAAUACCCUGAGUAGAUGACGGUACCAGCAUAAGAAGCACCGGCUAACUACGUGCCAGCAGCCGCGGUAAUACGUAGGGUGCGAGCGUUAAUCGGAAUUACUGGGCGUAAAGCGUGCGCAGGCGGUUUUGUAAGUCAGAUGUGAAAUCCCCGGGCUCAACCUGGGAACUGCAUUUGAGACUGCAAGGCUAGAGUGUGGCAGAGGGGGGUAGAAUUCCACGUGUAGCAGUGAAAUGCGUAGAGAUGUGGAGGAAUACCGAUGGCGAAGGCAGCCCCCUGGGUCACUACUGACGCUCAUGCACGAAAGCGUGGGGAGCAAACAGGAUUAGAUACCCUGGUAGUCCACGCCCUAAACGAUGUCAACUAGGUGUUGGGAGGGUUAAACCUUUUAGUGCCGUAGCUAACA